UGACGGUACUUGACUAAGAAGCCCCGGCUAACUACGUGCCAGCAGCCGCGGUAAUACGUAGGGGGCAAGCGUUAUCCGGAUUUACUGGGUGUAAAGGGAGCGUAGACGGUAAGGCAAGUCUGAAGUGAAAUGCAGGGGCUCAACCCCGGAACUGCUUUUGGAACUGUCGAGCUAGAUUGCAGGAGAGGUAAGUGGAAUUCCUAGUGUAGCGGUGAAAUGCGUAGAUAUUAGGAGGAACACCAGUGGCGAAGGCGGCUUACUGGACUGUAAAUGACGCUGAGGCUCGAAAGCGUGGGGAGCAAACAGGAUUAGAUACCCUG
This 320-nucleotide ribosomal RNA is filed under the name uncultured bacterium. Its description in RNAcentral is "bacterial SSU rRNA". It matches the Rfam family "Bacterial small subunit ribosomal RNA", at positions 470 to 789 of the family's 1533-position model. The record is from RNAcentral.